AUUGAACGCUGGCGGCAGGCCUAACACAUGCAAGUCGAGCGGAUGAGUGGAGCUUGCUCCAUGAUUCAGCGGCGGACGGGUGAGUAAUGCCUAGGAAUCUGCCUGGUAGUGGGGGACAACGUUUCGAAAGGAACGCUAAUACCGCAUACGUCCUACGGGAGAAAGCAGGGGACCUUCGGGCCUUGCGUUAUCAGAUGAGCCUAGGUCGGAUUAGCUAGUAGGUGAGGUAAUGGCUCACCUAGGCGACGAUCCGUAACUGGUCUGAGAGGAUGAUCAGCCACACUGGGACUGAGACACGGCCCAGACUCCUACGGGAGGCAGCAGUGGGGAAUUUUUGGACAAUGGGCGCAAGCCUGAUCCAGCAAUGCCGCGUGCAGGAUGAAGGCCUCGGUUGUAACUAGCUUUGUACGGUAACGAACGGUA
This 423-nucleotide ribosomal RNA is filed under the name uncultured bacterium. RNAcentral describes it as "bacterial SSU rRNA". It matches the Rfam family "Bacterial small subunit ribosomal RNA", at positions 30 to 454 of the family's 1533-position model. The record is from RNAcentral.